Lutra lutra (Eurasian river otter) is the source of this 487-nucleotide long non-coding RNA. RefSeq lists it as uncharacterized. NCBI's taxonomy places the organism in Eukaryota, Metazoa, Chordata, Mammalia, Carnivora, Mustelidae. The record is from RefSeq and is a predicted model, not a curated record. The transcript has 2 exons.
UUCAAAUUAACUCUUCUUUUUAUAGGAAAGAUGAAGAUACAUGUCUUCACUUGCCUGUAUUGGCAUCAUGCACCCAGGGAAAAGAACAUUCCACACAAGUGGUAGAGGUUGGUAUUAUGAAUGCAACACAUAGGGACUUUUAUCAAAUCCUGUUUUUCUCUAAAGAAAUUUUAAAAAUUGACAAAGAAAAGUAAUUAAUUUUGUGUGGAGCAGCAACUGAAGAGGAAGCCUUUCCUUUCACAUUCUAGUAUUUUAGAUGGAGAAAUCUGCCAUUUUCCUACCCAACUGUCCAAACUAAAAUUCUCUUUGGAAUUUAAAAAAUUUUUAAAUUCCCUCCAAAAUGGGAAAUUUUGGAAGAAAACAGACCUGCUUACAAGGGGAUAGGAGAAACUUAGACCCCCAACCCAAUAUUUUCAAGUAUAAAUAUCAAGGUUCACAAGGCACUGGAGCUUAAUCAGGACCAUGGCAAAGAAAGACCAAGACAAAA